AAGAAGCCACUGUGAUCCAAUGGACAACCUGACUCAGGCCACUUCCUAGGGCUUCAACCCAAUGGAAAACUACGUUCUUCCUCUCUUACUCUAUGACCUGGAAAGCUUGAAAGAAGCAAGAAAAGUCAAGAGCCUGUGAGAGGCUGAGCUAUGCAACCGACCGUCUUGGCCCAAACGCAACUCGCUUGCUAAGAACACAAGCUAUUUCUAUUGGGUCUUCCUAAGAGUGAGCUGCUUACAAGCAGAACUGGUAGAAGAUUUUACCACUCACAGGAUGACUACAGGAAGUCCAGAGAAAAGAGAUUUAUUGAUUCCCUACUGCUGUGGUAAUGGAAGAAGCCAAGCCAAAGACCCAGUUGUUCCACACAGCUCACUCAAUAGUUUCCCCCUCGGACACAGACUGAGGCAGCAACGUUGGUUUCUGGUUACCGAUGAGCCUGUGUUUCCUCUUCCUUUCUCAUGCCCCCAGCUAACUUGGGAAUCCUACCCAGGGCCUUACCCCAGGGAGCCCCUGCUUGUUGAGGCACUGGACUCCGAGUCUAGAAGUCUGAGCCCUGAAGACCCACUCACCCGAUUCCUGUUGGAUCUUUGACAAGAAUACCAGCCUUUCUCAGGACAGGAAAUCAACGUCAUGAGAGCAAAGAACAAAGGAGGCACUGGAUGGAAGUGAGCUUUGAGUAUGCACAGUUUUACUGUCCUGCAUUUUGAUUUGAGAGGACAUACAUUCAACUUUGUCUUCCUACAACAAAAAUCACCUGAAGGGGGUCGUAUCUGUCAAGGUGCUGUCAAAAGAUAAAAAUCGCUCCCACAUUUUCACAAGGGAAGUAUAAUAUAAAGAAACGUAAUAUACUGCUAACUAUAAAAGGGGUUUAACUAUGAAAAAAGGCUUGAAAAGGACCCUAAAGCAGCAGCAUGUACAAAAGAGUAGCUAUCAUCUCUAGGCUAAGGGAGAGUGGAUAAAGGGACCGAGGAUUAGGAGAGAAGCCCCCUAUUGCCACCCAAGGCUGAGACUCAGACCUCAUCAGAGAGGACUCAGCUACCACAGGAACUUGCAAGCUGCUGGUGUUGAAGAAACUUUCUGGAA
This is a long non-coding RNA of Rhinolophus ferrumequinum (greater horseshoe bat), 1084 nucleotides long. RefSeq lists it as uncharacterized. The transcript has 3 exons. Lineage: Eukaryota; Metazoa; Chordata; Mammalia; Chiroptera; Rhinolophidae. The record is from RefSeq and is a predicted model, not a curated record.